GAUCCUACGUGACAUGUGAGGCAUCACCUUGAGGCUAUGCAUUGUACAUGCCCUUAACAGAAUGGUCGGAAAGAACCGUGCAAAGUUGCCAAUAUGAAGCCACACCCAAAAAAAAUCCCAGGCAAGAGUGACCUUGGUAAUCUAAUCUCCUUUGCAUCAGUAACAAUAUUGGUUGCAGAAUAAACAAAUGGGAUAACAAUCUUUAGCCCUACAACAAUCAAAUCGGAAGUAGCACAUAAUAAUGAUACACAAUCUAGUCGCCUAAACCGCCACCCACACCUUGUAAGGCCUACGCCCCCUUCAAAAACGGAUCCAUUACACAUAAGAGAAGAACAGGUACGGUAGCUUUGUUAAAUAAGACCGUCUUUCCCGCAAAGCCCCUACGGCCACAGCUAUCUUGGCAGAGAGAGAUGCUCUAGGUUGUCUUGGACUUGGCGGCCUUCUUCUUGGCCUGCCUCUUGGGGACCGAGUUCUUCAUGCCCAGGAAGAAGAGAAGGGCUCCAAACAGUGCCAGGUUCUACAGUUAAAAGGGAUCACGAGUGGUUAGCUACCAUGGGACAUUCCUUGUUCAACAGACAUGCAAAAACAGGUGAAUAUUUGCAUCAUACCUGUGUGAACUUCAUGAAGAUCUGCACGAAUUCAGCCUUCUCCAUGUCGUAGUUGUAGAAGUCGUAGACAACAGGCGUGAUGAAAGCAAGGUAGAGGGCCUGCCGAAACAAAUACCUUUCAUUAGAAAAGCGCACAACAAGGAAGCAGAGACAUAGCAAACGCAGCACAUAUGAACGUAGUGGGAACAGGAUCGGUAAUUCAUGAGGUCUAAGGUGACUAAAACUUCAAUGGGUCACACUUAUCAUAUCACGGUGUCCACAGAAACAAAUAAGGAAGUUAAGAAUCGUGUACUCAUUAGGACAUCAUACAGCAAAAUGUGCGCAAAAGCAGCACCAGAUAGAACCAUAAUAUUCACAAGGCACAAUUAAAUGGGCAAACAAGCAGAAUGCAGGUUUUGAUAAUAUCUGCAGCGCAUUUAUAUCAGAAGCCAGGAUGGUACCAGAUGGGCAAACCACAACAGUGACAUUAGGCACUUGCCAAAACAUUAGAGGAAACAAGUGCAGACGACAAGGAGUACUUUACAAAAUGUACACAUCUUGUAAUAUAAACAAAUGGUAUGGGAGUAUAACAGUUCCUGAAAGCAAAACACCAUGAAAUUUAGAAGAACAAAAUCUUUGUGGCCAGAUUUGAUAGAUCUAGAAGAACAGAAAUGCAGUUGCCCUAGCUAGGUGACCAGUAGUCUAAAGCAAUAUGCUCUUGUUUAAAUUCAAAAGAACAGCCAAAUGACAAUGCCUAAUGCAAGAUAAUAUUCAGUAGCUUUUCGGUAGCAAAUAUUUAUGAGAUAAAUGGCGAUAUUUGAAUACAAUGAAAUAAGGCAUUUGUGCAUGCACGACCCUACAUUACUAUGGAGUAUAGCACAAGAGAAAUUCCCUCAUUACUCUAGAUAUGAAAAUCAAUUUUAGCCAUGUACACUUGACAUAAAUGGAAUGCGUAGAUCACAACAAGAAAUACUAUACAGCGUAACAACAGAUCAGUACAUACCAGGAGAUAAGCACCAAAUGAACUGCUGACGAUAAACAGGAGACCUCCCAGACCCUUCAGACCAAUGGUAGCGGCAAUGACAUGCUUCAACU
RNAcentral lists this long non-coding RNA (1682 nucleotides) under Triticum aestivum (bread wheat). RNAcentral describes it as "long non-coding RNA (TAES_LNC003755)". The record is from RNAcentral. Lineage: Eukaryota; Viridiplantae; Streptophyta; Magnoliopsida; Poales; Poaceae.